RNAcentral lists this ribosomal RNA (557 nucleotides) under uncultured marine bacterium. Its description in RNAcentral is "bacterial SSU rRNA". It matches the Rfam family "Bacterial small subunit ribosomal RNA", at positions 56 to 657 of the family's 1533-position model. The record is from RNAcentral.
UGCAAGUCGAACGAAGUAGCAAUACUUAGUGGCAGACGGGUGAGUAACAUGUAGGUAUCUGCCCUUUGGCCUGGAAUAACACGAGGAAACUUGUGCUAAUACCGGAUAAGUCUUUACGGAGAAAGCUUGAUGCGCCAUUGGAUGAGCCUGCACUUGAUUAGUUUGUUGGUGGGGUAAUGGCCUACCAAGACUGUGAUCAAUAGCUGAUUUGAGAGGAUGAUCAGCCACAUUGGGACUGAGACACGGCCCAAACUCCUACGGGAGGCAGCAGUGGGGAAUCUUGCACAAUGGAGGAAACUCUGAUGCAGCGAUGCCGCGUGAGUGAAGAAGGCCCUUGGGUUGUAAAGCUCUUUCGUCGGGGAAGAAAAUGACUGUACCCGAAUAAGAAGGUCCGGCUAACUUCGUGCCAGCAGCCGCGGUAAUACGAAGGGACCUAGCGUAGUUCGGAAUUACUGGGCUUAAAGAGUUCGUAGGUGGUUGAAAAAGUUGGUGGUGAAAUCCCCAGAGCUUAACUCUGGAACUGCCAUCAAAACUUUUCAGCUAGAGUAUGAUAGAGG